This 408-nucleotide ribosomal RNA is filed under the name uncultured bacterium. Its description in RNAcentral is "partial 16S ribosomal RNA". It matches the Rfam family "Bacterial small subunit ribosomal RNA", at positions 28 to 526 of the family's 1533-position model. The record is from RNAcentral.
GACGAACGCUGGCGGCGUGCUUAACACAUGCAAGUCGAACGGAGUGGCGAACGGGUGAGUAACACGUGGGUGAUCUGCCUUGCACUCUGGGAUAAGCUUGGGAAACUGGGUCUAAUACCGGAUAGUGCAAGAUGAGCUCGCGGCCUAUCAGCUUGUUGGUGGGGUAAUGGCCUACCAAGGCGUCGACGGGUAGCCGGCCUGAGAGGGUGUACGGCGACAUUGGGACUUAGAGACGGCACAGACGCCUACGUUAGGAAGAAGGGGGGAAGAUUGCACCAUGGGCGGAAGGCUGAUGAAGCGAGGCCGCGUGGGGGAGGACGGUUUUCGGGGUGUGAACUCCUUUCGACAGGGACGCGGUACCUGUAUAAGAAGCACCGGCUAACUACGUGCCAGCAGCCGCGGUAAUUC